CUCAGGGAAACAGUGUUAAAAGUCAACUCAAAGCAGAUGAUCGUAAAAGAGAGCGCGCAAACAGCUUCGACGUGUUCUUGAAUGGUCAGCACAGAUGUGAUGAUGGAUGCAGUAGAGUCAGACAGAAGGGUUUCUCCUCUGAAGAACUUUUUGGCUGGAGGGGUCGGUGGUGUCUGUCUCUUAUUAGCUGGACACCCGCUGGACACUAUCAAGGUCCGUCUGCAAACACAGCAAUGUGUUGUCUACAGAGGAACAUAUGACUGCUUACGAAAGACGGUGUCCAAAGAGGGAAUAUUUGGCCUGUAUAAAGGGAUGGGUGUCCCGCUAGCUGGUGUUACCCCAAUGAUGGCUUUGAAUUUCUUUGGCUUUGGGCUGGGAAAGGAGCUUCUGCAAAGUGACCCCACCGUACCAAUCACGAACACGCAGAUCUACUUGGCAGGGAUGCUGGCAGGAGUAUUCACCACUGUGAUCGUGGCCCCGGGCGAGAGAAUCAAGUGUUUACUUCAGAUCCAGACCUCGGCCAGUCAGCUUAAGUACACUGGACCAGUGGAUUGUGCACUAAAACUUUAUAAGGAACAGGGAAUUCGCAGUGUCUACAAGGGCACUGUUCUUACUCUAAUCAGAGAUGUGCCUUCGAAUGGUGUAUACUUUCUAACAUAUGAAUACUUAAAAAAGUUUCUGACCCCUGAGGGAGAAAGUGUUCAUCACCUCAGCACAUCCAGAGUUCUUCUUGCAGGUGGGAUUGCUGGCAUGUUAAACUGGCUGAUUGCUCUGCCUGCAGAUGUGCUUAAAUCAAACUACCAAACAGGUACACCACACAAAUUCUCAUCUUUGCCACUGACAAGCGUUACCGGGGUUUGAGAGAUGUGUUAAAAACACUGUUACGGGAGGAAGGAGCCCAUGCUCUCUACAAAGGCUUGAGUGCAGUCAUGUUACGAGCAUUUCCUGCCAAUGCGGCUUGUUUUCUAGGCUUUGAGGUUGCCCUAAAGUGCUUAAACUACAUUGCUCCAGACUGGUGAUUUCACACUUACCGAUGAGGGAUACUACACAACUGAUAUUUGAAUACUUAUAUAUAUAUAUAUAUAUAUAU
Molecule: RNA transcript, 1090 nt
Organism: Carassius auratus (goldfish)
Lineage: Eukaryota; Metazoa; Chordata; Actinopteri; Cypriniformes; Cyprinidae
Gene name: mitochondrial carnitine/acylcarnitine carrier protein
Exons: 9
Source: RefSeq, a predicted model, not a curated record